RNAcentral lists this ribosomal RNA (305 nucleotides) under uncultured bacterium. Its description in RNAcentral is "bacterial SSU rRNA". It matches the Rfam family "Bacterial small subunit ribosomal RNA", at positions 333 to 635 of the family's 1533-position model. The record is from RNAcentral.
UCAUUCCUACGGGGGGCAGCAGGGAGGAAUAUUGGUCAAUGGGCGGGAGCCUGAACCAGCCACGUCGCGUGAGGGAAGACGGUCCUAUGGAUUGUAAACCUCUUUAGGCGGGGAGCAAUGCCGGGCACGCGUGCCCGGAGGGAGAGUACCCGCAGAAUAAGCAUCGUCUAACUCCGUGCCAGCAGCCGCGGUAAUACGGAGGAUGCGAGCGCUAUCCGGAUUUAUUGGGUUUAAAGGGUGCGUAGGCGGAUUUUUAAGUCAGCGGUAAAAUGUCCGGGCUCAACCCGGGCCGGCCGUUGACACUG